Molecule: ribosomal RNA, 520 nt
Filed under: uncultured bacterium
Lineage: Bacteria
Description: bacterial SSU rRNA
Rfam family: Bacterial small subunit ribosomal RNA
Source: RNAcentral
AAUAGAUACCCCGGUAGUCCACGCCGUAAACGAUGAGUGCUAGGUGUUGGGGGCAUCACGUCCUCAGUGCCGAAGGAAACCCAAUAAGCACUCCGCCUGGGGAGUACGGCCGCAAGGCUGAAACUCAAAGGAAUUGACGGGGGCCCGCACAAGCGGUGGAGCAUGUGGUUUAAUUCGAAGCAACGCGAAGAACCUUACCAAGGCUUGACAUCCCAUUGACCGCACUAGAGAUAGUGCUUCCCUUCGGGGCAAUGGUGACAGGUGGUGCAUGGUUGUCGUCAGCUCGUGUCGUGAGAUGUUGGGUUCAGUCCCGCAACGAGCGCAACCCUUAUCCUUAGUUGCCAGCAGGUAAAGCUGGGCUCUCUAAGGAGACAGCCGGUGAAAGCCGGAGGAAGGUGGGGAUGACGUCAAAUCAUCAUGCCCCUUACGUCUUGGGCUACACACGUGCUACAAUGGAUGGUACAAAGGGCAGCAAAACCGCGAGGUCGAGCAAAUCCCAUAAAGCCAUUCUCAGUUCGGA